AAUUACUUUGACAGAUUAGUGUAUUAAAUUUAGAAUUUAAAAAUAAAUAUAUAAAUUAUAUUUAAGUAAUAU
This 72-nucleotide transfer RNA is filed under the name Nasonia longicornis. RNAcentral's name for it is "tRNA-Leu". The record is from RNAcentral. Lineage: Eukaryota; Metazoa; Arthropoda; Insecta; Hymenoptera; Pteromalidae.